GGGCCCGUAGCUCAGCGGUUAGAGCGGUGGACUCAUAAUCCAUCGGUCCCAGGUUCGAUCCCUGGCGGGCCCA
This 73-nucleotide transfer RNA is filed under the name Bacteroidia bacterium. RNAcentral's name for it is "tRNA-Ile". It matches the Rfam family "tRNA". From Rfam's summary of the family: Transfer RNA (tRNA) molecules are approximately 80 nucleotides in length. Their secondary structure includes four short double-helical elements and three loops (D, anti-codon, and T loops). Further hydrogen bonds mediate the characteristic L-shaped molecular structure. tRNAs have two regions of fundamental functional importance: the anti-codon, which is responsible for specific mRNA codon recognition, and the 3' end, to which the tRNAs corresponding amino acid is attached (by aminoacyl-tRNA synthetases). tRNAs cope with the degeneracy of the genetic code in two manners: having more than one tRNA (with a specific anti-codon) for a particular amino acid; and 'wobble' base-pairing, i.e. permitting non-standard base-pairing at the 3rd anti-codon position. RNAcentral also lists the same sequence under 1 other name. Lineage: Bacteria; Pseudomonadati; Bacteroidota; Bacteroidia. The record is from RNAcentral.